AAAUAUGUAAUUUAUUUCUUAAAUCAAUGUUAAUCUUUUUUUAGAAAAAAAGAUUUUUGUUUUUUUUUCGCAAUAAAUCGCAAAUGAUCCAAUUCGAAAAACAUUACCAAAACGAGUCAUUAAAAUUAGAGGCCAAACCUGCAUUCAUUUCACAUAAUACUUCCAGGUUGCAAACACGAAGUUCAACGUUAAAUAUCAAUAACAAUAUAUAAUUUAUGUAACAUCAUCAACAUUUAUUUAAAAUUAGAAAUGAUUACCAACCUGUUUCACAGACUUUUUAUUUAGAAAUGUCAGAGUGUGGAAGUUUUUGUUUAAGUUUAAAGUUAAAUCGCUUGUUCUUUAACAGAAAAUAUCAAACUUUUGUUGGGUAAUUAUAUCUUCUAAAAAAUCUUUGUUAAGAUUGUUUUCUUCGUUGCUAAUGCAACCUAAGACGUAAAACAGGCAUGAUAAAAAGCUUACAUGACUUGAGAUCGUCAAAGCAGUCAAACAACCCUGUGCUCCAGUCUCUGUGGCCCUCGAUCCCUGUAACCAUCAGAGGAUAACCAGAACCGGCUGUCGGCUGCUGGACUACAACAGUGGUCGACAUUUUCUAGAGCCUUUGACGAUAAGUCUGUUUUGAAAAUCAGGAAUCU
Molecule: long non-coding RNA, 632 nt
Organism: Saccostrea cuccullata (small rock oyster)
Lineage: Eukaryota; Metazoa; Mollusca; Bivalvia; Ostreida; Ostreidae
Exons: 2
Source: RefSeq, a predicted model, not a curated record